AACGAACGCUGGCGGCAUGCCUAACACAUGCAAGUCGAACGAAGGCUUCGGCCUUAGUGGCGCACGGGUGCGUAACGCGUGGGAAUCUGCCCUUUGGUUCGGAAUAACAGCUGGAAACGGCUGCUAAUACCGGAUGAUGACGAAAGUCCAAAGAUUUAUCGCCAGAGGAUGAGCCCGCGUUGGAUUAGGUAGUUGGUGGGGUAAAGGCCUACCAAGCCGACGAUCCAUAGCUGGUCUGAGAGGAUGAUCAGCCACACUGGGACUGAGACACGGCCCAGACUCCUACGGGAGGCAGCAGUGGGGAAUAUUGGACAAUGGGCGCAAGCCUGAUCCAGCAAUGCCGCGUGAGUGAUGAAGGUCCUAGGGUUGUAAAGCUCUUUUACCCGGGAAGAUAAUGACUGUACCGGGAGAAUAAGCCCCGGCUAACUCCGUG
Molecule: ribosomal RNA, 433 nt
Filed under: uncultured bacterium
Lineage: Bacteria
Description: partial 16S ribosomal RNA
Rfam family: Bacterial small subunit ribosomal RNA
Source: RNAcentral